The sequence is a transfer RNA, 73 nucleotides long. It matches the Rfam family "tRNA". From Rfam's summary of the family: Transfer RNA (tRNA) molecules are approximately 80 nucleotides in length. Their secondary structure includes four short double-helical elements and three loops (D, anti-codon, and T loops). Further hydrogen bonds mediate the characteristic L-shaped molecular structure. tRNAs have two regions of fundamental functional importance: the anti-codon, which is responsible for specific mRNA codon recognition, and the 3' end, to which the tRNAs corresponding amino acid is attached (by aminoacyl-tRNA synthetases). tRNAs cope with the degeneracy of the genetic code in two manners: having more than one tRNA (with a specific anti-codon) for a particular amino acid; and 'wobble' base-pairing, i.e. permitting non-standard base-pairing at the 3rd anti-codon position. The record is from Rfam.
GCCGGGAUAGCUCAGUUGGUAGAGCAGAGGACUGAAAAUCCUCGUGUCCCGGGUUCAAGUCCCGGUCCUGGCA